This 503-nucleotide ribosomal RNA is filed under the name uncultured bacterium. RNAcentral describes it as "partial 16S ribosomal RNA". It matches the Rfam family "Bacterial small subunit ribosomal RNA", at positions 30 to 523 of the family's 1533-position model. The record is from RNAcentral.
AUUGAACGCUGGCGGCAGGCUUAACACAUGCAAGUCGAGCGGAGUGAUGGUGCUUGCACUAUCACUUAGCGGCGGACGGGUGAGUAAUGCUUAGGAAUCUGCCUAUUAGUGGGGGACAACAUCUCGAAAGGGAUGCUAAUACCGCAUACGUCCUACGGGAGAAAGCAGGGGAUCACUUGUGACCUUGCGCUAAUAGAUGAGCCUAAGUCGGAUUAGCUAGUUGGUGGGGUAAAGGCCUACCAAGGCGACGAUCUGUAGCGGGUCUGAGAGGAUGAUCCGCCACACUGGGACUGAGACACGGCCAAGACUCCUACGGGAGGCAGCAGGGGGGAAUAUUGGACAAUGGGGGGAACCCUGAUCCAGCCAUGCCGCGUGUGUGAAGAAGGCCUUAUGGUUGUAAAGCACUUUAAGCGAGGAGGAGGCUCUUUUGGUUAAUACCCAAGAUGAGUGGACGUUACUCGCAGAAUAAGCACCGGCUAACUCUGUGCCAGCCGCCGCCGCGG